Molecule: ribosomal RNA, 916 nt
Filed under: uncultured Bacteroidota bacterium
Lineage: Bacteria; Pseudomonadati; Bacteroidota
Description: bacterial SSU rRNA
Rfam family: Bacterial small subunit ribosomal RNA
Source: RNAcentral
UGGAUCCAGACUUUGAUUAUGGCUCAGGAUGAACGCUAGCGACAGGCCUAACACAUGCAAGUCGAGGGGCAGCAAGUUUGUAGCAAUACGAAUGUUGGCGACCGGCGCACGGGUGCGUAACAGGUGUGCAAUCUGUCCAUAAUCGGAGGAUAGCCCUGCGAAAGUAGGAUUAAACCUCCAUGUGAGCCGAUGGGGCAUCCCAUUGGUUUGAAACGUAAGGAUUAUGGGUGAGCACGCUUCUGAUUAGGUAGUUGGUGAGGUAACGGCUCACCAAGCCGACGAUCAGUAGGGGUUCUGAGAGGAAGGUCCCCCACAUUGGAACUGAGACACGGUCCAAACUCCUACGGGAGGCAGCAGUGAGGAAUAUUGGUCAAUGGACGGAAGUCUGAACCAGCCAAGUCGCGUGAAGGAUGAAGGUUCUAUGGAUUGUAAACUUCUUUUAUUCGAGGGUAAAGUGUGGUACGUGUACCAUAUUGCAAGUAUCGAAUGAAUAAGCAUCGGCUAACUCCGUGCCAGCAGCCGCGGUAAUACGGAGGAUGCGAGCGUUAUCCGGAUUUAUUGGGUUUAAAGGGUGCGUAGGCGGGCGAUUAAGUCAGCGGUGAAAGCGUGUGGCUCAACCAUACCACUGCCGUUGAAACUGGUUGUCUUGAGUGUAAACGAGGUAGGCGGAAUGUGAUGUGUAGCGGUGAAAUGCUUAGAUAUGUCACAGAACCCCGAUUGCGAAGGCAGCUUACCAGCAUACAACUGACGCUGAGGCACGAAAGCGUGGGUAUCAAACAGGAUUAGAUACCCUGGUAGUCCACGCAGUAAACGAUGAAUACUAGCUGUUGGCGAUAUAAUGUCAGCGGUAGAGCGAAAGUGUUAAGUAUUCCACCUGGGGAGUACGCCGGCAACGGUGCAACUCAAAGGAAUUGAC